AACGAACGCUGGCGGCAGGCCUAACACAUGCAAGUCGAACGCACCGCAAGGUGAGUGGCGCACGGGUGAGUAACACGUGGGAAUGUACCCUUUGGUUCGGAAUAACGUUUGGAAACGAACGCUAAUACCGGAUGAGCCCUGUGGGGGAAAGAUUUAUCGCCAAAGGAGCAGCCCGCGUCUGAUUAGCUAGUUGGUGGGGUAAAGGCCUACCAAGGCGACGAUCAGUAGCUGGUCUGAGAGGAUGAUCAGCCACACUGGGACUGAGACACGGCCCAGACUCCUACGGGAGGCAGCAGUGGGGAAUCUUAGACAAUGGGGGAAACCCUGAUCUAGCCAUGCCGCGUGAUCGAUGAAGGCCUUAGGGUUGUAAAGAUCUUUCAGUGGGGAAGAUAAUGACGGUACCCACAGAAGAAGCCCCGGCUAACUCCGUGCCAGCAGCCGCGGUAAU
Molecule: ribosomal RNA, 448 nt
Filed under: uncultured bacterium
Lineage: Bacteria
Description: bacterial SSU rRNA
Rfam family: Bacterial small subunit ribosomal RNA
Source: RNAcentral